AUUGAACGCUGGCGGCAGGCCUAACACAUGCAAGUCGAACGAGUGGCGGACGGGUGAGCAAUGUCUGGGAAACUGCCUGAUGGAGGGGGAUAAAUAAUGGAAACGGUAGCUAAUACCGCAUAACAUAAGAUGUGCCCAGAUGGGAUUAGCUAGUGUGUGGGGUAACGGCUCAUCAAGGCGACGAUCCCUAGCUGGUCUGAGAGGAUGACCAGCCACACUGGAACUGAGGCACGGUCCAGACUCCUACGGGAGGCAGCAGUGGGGAAUAUUGCACAAUGGGCGCAAGCCUGAUGCAGCCAUGCCGCGUGUAUGAAGAAGGCCUUCGGGUUGUAAAGUUCUUUCAGCUGGGAGGCGUUACCCGCAGAAGAAGCACCGGCUAACUCCGUGCCAGCAGCCGCGGUAAUUC
This 406-nucleotide ribosomal RNA is filed under the name uncultured bacterium. RNAcentral's name for it is "partial 16S ribosomal RNA". It matches the Rfam family "Bacterial small subunit ribosomal RNA", at positions 30 to 526 of the family's 1533-position model. The record is from RNAcentral.